CCUACGGGAGGCAGCAGUGAGGAAUCUUGGUCAAUGGGCGCGAGCCUGAACCAGCCACGUAGCGUGAAGGAUGACUGCCCUACGGGUUGUAAACUUCGUUUAUAAAGGAGUAAAGUGAGGCACGUGUGCCUUUUUGUAUGUACUUUAUGAAUUAGGAUCGGCUAACUUCGUGCCAGCAGCCGCGGUAAUACGUAGGAUCCGAGCGUUAUCCGGAUUUAUUGGGUUUAAAGGGAGCGUAGAUGGGUUGUUAAGUCAGUUGUGAAAGUUUGCGGCUCAACCGUAAAAUUGCAAUUGAUACUGGCAGCCUUGAGUACAGUAGAGGUAGGCGGAAUUCGUGGUGUAGCGGUGAAAUGCGUAGAUAUCACGAAGAACUCCGAUUGCGAAGGCAGUUCACUGGACUGCAACUGACACUGAGGCGCGAAAGUGUGGGUAUCAAACAGGAUUAGAUACCCGAGUAGUC
This 460-nucleotide ribosomal RNA is filed under the name uncultured bacterium. RNAcentral's name for it is "partial 16S ribosomal RNA". It matches the Rfam family "Bacterial small subunit ribosomal RNA", at positions 338 to 795 of the family's 1533-position model. The record is from RNAcentral.